This 1542-nucleotide ribosomal RNA is filed under the name Escherichia coli. Its description in RNAcentral is "bacterial SSU rRNA". It matches the Rfam family "Bacterial small subunit ribosomal RNA". The record is from RNAcentral. Lineage: Bacteria; Pseudomonadati; Pseudomonadota; Gammaproteobacteria; Enterobacterales; Enterobacteriaceae.
AAAUUGAAGAGUUUGAUCAUGGCUCAGAUUGAACGCUGGCGGCAGGCCUAACACAUGCAAGUCGAACGGUAACAGAAAGCAGCUUGCUGCUUUGCUGACGAGUGGCGGACGGGUGAGUAAUGUCUGGGAAACUGCCUGAUGGAGGGGGAUAACUACUGGAAACGGUAGCUAAUACCGCAUAACGUCGCAAGACCAAAGAGGGGGACCUUCGGGCCUCUUGCCAUCGGAUGUGCCCAGAUGGGAUUAGCUUGUUGGUGGGGUAACGGCUCACCAAGGCGACGAUCCCUAGCUGGUCUGAGAGGAUGACCAGCCACACUGGAACUGAGACACGGUCCAGACUCCUACGGGAGGCAGCAGUGGGGAAUAUUGCACAAUGGGCGCAAGCCUGAUGCAGCCAUGCCGCGUGUAUGAAGAAGGCCUUCGGGUUGUAAAGUACUUUCAGCGGGGAGGAAGGGAGUAAAGUUAAUACCUUUGCUCAUUGACGUUACCCGCAGAAGAAGCACCGGCUAACUCCGUGCCAGCAGCCGCGGUAAUACGGAGGGUGCAAGCGUUAAUCGGAAUUACUGGGCGUAAAGCGCACGCAGGCGGUUUGUUAAGUCAGAUGUGAAAUCCCCGGGCUCAACCUGGGAACUGCAUCUGAUACUGGCAAGCUUGAGUCUCGUAGAGGGGGGUAGAAUUCCAGGUGUAGCGGUGAAAUGCGUAGAGAUCUGGAGGAAUACCGGUGGCGAAGGCGGCCCCCUGGACGAAGACUGACGCUCAGGUGCGAAAGCGUGGGGAGCAAACAGGAUUAGAUACCCUGGUAGUCCACGCCGUAAACGAUGUCGACUUGGAGGUUGUGCCCUUGAGGCGUGGCUUCCGGAGCUAACGCGUUAAGUCGACCGCCUGGGGAGUACGGCCGCAAGGUUAAAACUCAAAUGAAUUGACGGGGCCCGCACAAGCGGUGGAGCAUGUGGUUUAAUUCGAUGCAACGCGAAGAACCUUACCUACUCUCUUGACAUCCACGGAAGUUUUCAGAGAUGAGAAUGUGCCUUCGGGAACCGUGAGACAGGUGCUGCAUGGCUGUCGUCAGCUCGUGUUGUGAAAUGUUGGGUUAAGUCCCGCAACGAGCGCAACCCUUAUCCUUUGUUGCCAGCGGUCCGGCCGGGAACUCAAAGGAGACUGCCAGUGAUAAACUGGAGGAAGGUGGGGAUGACGUCAAGUCAUCAUGGCCCUUACGACCAGGGCUACACACGUGCUACAAUGGCGCAUACAAAGAGAAGCGACCUCGCGAGAGCAAGCGGACCUCAUAAAGUGCGUCGUAGUCCGGAUUGAGUCUGCAACUCGACUCCAUGAAGUCGGAAUCGCUAGUAAUCGUGGAUCAGAAUGCCACGGUGAAUACGUUCCCGGGCCUUGUACACACCGCCCGUCACACCAUGGGAGUGGGUUGCAAAAGAAGUAGGUAGCUUAACCUUCGGGAGGGCGCUUACCACUUUGUGAUUCAUGACUGGGGUGAAGUCGUAACAAGGUAACCGUAGGGGAACCUGCGGUUGGAUCACCUCCUUA